Molecule: ribosomal RNA, 525 nt
Filed under: uncultured bacterium
Lineage: Bacteria
Description: bacterial SSU rRNA
Rfam family: Bacterial small subunit ribosomal RNA
Source: RNAcentral
GAGUUUGAUCCUGGCUCAGAUUGAACGCUGGCGGCAUGCUUUACACAUGCAAGUCGAACGGUAACAGGCCGCAAGGUGCUGACGAGUGGCGAACGGGUGAGUAAUGCAUCGGAACGUGCCCAAUCGUGGGGGAUAACGCAGCGAAAGCUGUGUUAAUACCGCAUACGAUCUACGGAUGAAAGCGGGGGACUCGCAAGAGCCUCGCGCGAUUGGAGCGGCCGAUGUCAGAUUAGGUAGUUGGUGGGGUAAGGCUCACCAAGCCAACGAUCUGUAGCUGGUCUGAGAGGACGACCAGCCACACUGGAACUGAGACACGGUCCAGACUCCUACGGGAGGCAGCAGUGGGGAAUUUUGGACAAUGGGCGCAAGCCUGAUCCAGCAAUGCCGCGUGCAGGAAGAAGGCCUUCGAGUUGUAAACUGCUUUUGUACGGAACGAAAAGGUCUGGGUUAAUACCCUGGGCUGAUGACGGUACCGUAAGAAUAAGCACCGGCUAACUGCGUGCCAGCAGCCGCGGUAAUACGUAG